AGCACGUGCCGGAAGCCCAGCAGCGAAGAGGAGGGGAGAGGAGAGGGGAGGCGGCAGGCGAGGACACCACCCGCGGUUCGCGGCCACCAGCCGACCCGACCACGGCGCGCCGCCGCUGCCAUCUCCGCCUGUCGCGGGGGGAGCGCUCGCUGGCUCGCACUCCGAGUGUUGCUUGAUACCAUCAUUAGCAGUUGAAGAGGAGCAUACAGGCAAUGUACACAUCUCGUCUGGUAGAUGAUGGGCCUUCUGUACUACAGUUAUGCAGAUGGACAUUGCCCACAGCCCCAUCUUAAACUAUCAAAAUUUUGAGAGGCUUUUACAUCUCCAACAAGGCGUGUUUUUGAACUGCUCGCAGACCAUGGAUAUCUUGUCCUGGCAACUGCUGAGGCCAAUCUGACAAGUGAAUCAACUAGAGCUAUCCCAGAUACCUGCACUUACGCAGUCUUUGAAACAUUUUCUUCUAUUUCUAGAGGGAAGUCUUUAGCAUGGGGAUAUUGUUCUGGUGCUUCUAGUCAAGUUGAGGAUUCAAGUUUCUAA
Molecule: long non-coding RNA, 537 nt
Organism: Panicum hallii
Lineage: Eukaryota; Viridiplantae; Streptophyta; Magnoliopsida; Poales; Poaceae
Exons: 3
Source: RefSeq, a predicted model, not a curated record